This 1239-nucleotide ribosomal RNA is filed under the name metagenome. Its description in RNAcentral is "bacterial LSU rRNA". It matches the Rfam family "Bacterial large subunit ribosomal RNA", at positions 1564 to 2813 of the family's 2925-position model. The record is from RNAcentral.
UGAGUACGAGAUGCUACGGCAUCGAAGCAGUCUAUGUCAUACUUCCAAGAAAAGCUUGCACUGUCAUAAACAAAGAAUGCCUGUACCAUAACCGACACAGGUGGGUAGGUAGAGUAUACCAAGGGGCGCGAGAUAACUCUCUCUAAGGAACUCGGCAAAAUGACUCCGUAACUUCGGGAGAAGGAGUGCCUUAUUUAUAAGGUUGCAAUUACAAGAUCCAAGCAACUGUUUAUCAAAAACACAGGUCUCCGCUAAGUCGUAAGACGAUGUAUGGGGGCUGACGCCUGCCCAGUGCCAGAAGGUUAAAGAAGUUGGUUAGUGUAUGCGAAGCUGAUGACUGAAGCCCUGGUGAACGGCGGCCGUAACAAUAACGGUCCUAAGGUAGCGAAAUUCCUUGUCGGGUAAGUUCCGACCCGCACGAAAGGCGUAAUGAUUUGGAUACUGUCUCGGAGAGAGGCUCGGUGAAAUAGACUUGUCUGUGAAGAUGCGGACUACCUGCACCAGGACAGAAAGACCCUAUGAAGCUUUACUGUAACUUGAAAUUGGAAUUGGACUUUGCUUGCGCAGUAUAGGUGGGAAGCGUUGAAGAUAUUCUUGCGGGAGUAUUGGAGCUAUCAGUGAGAUACCACUCUUGUAAUGUUAGAUUUCUAACUUUGAACCAUAAUCUGGUCAAAGAACAGUUUCAGGUGGGCAGUUUGACUGGGGCGGUCGCCUCCCAAAUGGUAACGGAGGCGUACAAAGGUUUCCUCUGAACGGAUAGAAAUCGUAUCUAGAGUGUAAAGGCAUAAGGAAGCUUGACUGUGAGACCUACAAGUCGAGCAGGGACGAAAGUCGGUCUUAGUGAUCUGACGGUACUGAGUGGAAAGGCCGUCACUCAACGGAUAAAAGUUACUCUAGGGAUAACAGGCUGAUCUCCCCCAAGAGUUCACAUCGACGGGGAGGUUUGGCACCUCGAUGUCGGCUCAUCGCAUCCUGGGGCGGUAGUACGUCCCAAGGGUUGGGCUGUUCGCCCAUGAAAGCGGUACGCGAGCUGGGUUCAGAACGUCGUGAGACAGUUCGGUCCAUAUCCGGUGUAGGCGUUAGAAUAUUGAGAGGAGCCUUCUUAGUACGAGAGGACCGAGAAGGACACACCGCUGGUGUACCAGUUAUCGUGCCAACGGUAAACGCUGGGUAGCUAUGUGUGGAGUGGAUAACCGCUGAAAGCAUCUAAGUGGGAAGCCCACCUCAAGAUGAGUAUUC